CACGGGGGCAACCCUGGUGGCGAGUGGCGAACGGGUGAKUAAUACAUCGGAACGUGCCCAGUCGUGGGGGAUAACGCASCGAAAGCUGUGCUAAUACCGCAUACGAUCUACGGAUGAAAGCGGGGGACUCGCAAGGGCCUCGCGCGAUUGGAGCGGCCGAUGGCAGAUUAGGUAGUUGGUGGGGUAAAGGCUCACCAAGCCUGCGAUCUGUAGCUGGUCUGAGAGGACGACCAGCCACACUGGGACUGAGACACGGCCCAGACUCCUACGGGAGGCAGCGGUGGGGAAUUUUGGACAAUGGGCGCAAGCCUGAUCCAGCCAUUCCGCGUGCAGGAUGAAGGCCUUCGGGUUGUAAACUGCUUUUGUACGGAACGAAAAGGCUCUGGUGAAUACCUGGGGCUCAUGACGGUACCGUAAGAAUAAGCACCGGCUAACUACGUGCCAGCAGCCGCGGUAAUACGUAGGGUGCGAGCGUUAAUCGGAAUUACUGGGCGUAAAGCGUGCGCAGGCGGUGAUGUAAGACAGAUGUGAAAUCCCCGGGCUCAACCUGGGAACUGCAUUUGUGACUGCAUCGCUGGAGUGCGGCAGAGGGGGAUGGAAUUCCGCG
This 607-nucleotide ribosomal RNA is filed under the name uncultured soil bacterium. RNAcentral describes it as "bacterial SSU rRNA". It matches the Rfam family "Bacterial small subunit ribosomal RNA", at positions 72 to 673 of the family's 1533-position model. The record is from RNAcentral.